Molecule: long non-coding RNA, 275 nt
Organism: Helianthus annuus (common sunflower)
Lineage: Eukaryota; Viridiplantae; Streptophyta; Magnoliopsida; Asterales; Asteraceae
Exons: 3
Source: RefSeq, a predicted model, not a curated record
GACAGAAGCAGAGAAAAGGGGCGAACCCCAUAUCCAAAACCCUAACAUCACCAUUUCUUGCAAAUUGAAGGCUCAAAUCCUAACCAAAACAAAAUCCGAGCUUAGAAUCGUGUUCCUCAUCGCGAGAGGGUCUAGAGGCAAAGAGUCCGGUUCCUCUAGCGGACAAGCCGAGGGGAAAUCACGAGGAAAAGGCGCGCUCUAAAGGCAAAGAGUCCGGUUCCUCUAGCGGACAAGCCGAGGGGAAAUCACGAGGAAAAGGCGCGCUCUAAAGGUAC